Orbicella faveolata is the source of this 429-nucleotide long non-coding RNA. Lineage: Eukaryota; Metazoa; Cnidaria; Anthozoa; Scleractinia; Merulinidae. The record is from RefSeq and is a predicted model, not a curated record.
CUGUUAAGGUUUAGGAUUGUUUUCCCACAAAUAAGGGGUUUAAUUUCAUUUACAACGAAGCCACCGUUAAAGCGCCUUCUGAAGUGAUUCCGACAUCGUUGUCCUGUUGAAUAACGUGGAAGUGUUUAUUACAUUUUGCCGUUUUCAGUGAAACGUUGAACACAGACGGUGCUGCAGCCGCUGACAACAACGACACAACACAAGACUCAGACGAACAAUCGGAUGACAAUGAAGAAGAGUCGUACCCAGCUCUCGGAGAUGCUCUAACACAGCUUGGUUUACCUGAAUACGUGGGGCUGUUCGAAUCUGAAGAAAUGGACAUGGAGACGUUUCUGCUGUGUGGCGAGGAGGACAUGAAAGAGAUGGGAAUUCCCAUGGGACCGAGAAAGAAAUUAAUGGGAUACCUGAGAAAUCAGAAACAAAACAUGG